GGAGGGUGCACACUCCGCCUGACGCUCUGGGAAAGGCGAAGCUGUGGGGUCAGGAAAGACCGGUGCCCUCAGAGAACGACAUUGUCGGAUUUCUGAGUAGAAGGAAGAGCGGUUUUCCUUAAGCAGCUGGACUGCGUUCACGGGUCUCCGCGUGCCCACGGCACACGCGUCUCUAGCUGCUGAGCAGGCGUGUGCAAAUAUGCUUGGAGGCUGAGGGAUGCCGCGCACGUCUAAUAAAUAAAGCAAAAUAAUUAAUAGCACCGGCAGCCUAGAGACCACGCCUAGCUGCUGUGGGUCUGGGCCACGGAGAGCCCUCCGCUCCGCUCCACUCCCGGCCGACCGCGGCCUCCGACCGCCCCGCCGCCGAGAAGACCCCCGCUAAGAGAGCCGUCCGGACCCUGGGGGAGCCAGAGCCGACCUGCUCCUUCCCCCAGAUGCCACAGGAAUUCCACGGAGAUACGAAGGGGUGUUUCUACAGCGAGGCGCUC
Molecule: long non-coding RNA, 488 nt
Organism: Phyllostomus hastatus (greater spear-nosed bat)
Lineage: Eukaryota; Metazoa; Chordata; Mammalia; Chiroptera; Phyllostomidae
Exons: 3
Source: RefSeq, a predicted model, not a curated record